This 77-nucleotide small RNA is filed under the name Salmonella enterica subsp. enterica. RNAcentral's name for it is "isrK". It matches the Rfam family "isrK Hfq binding RNA". RNAcentral also lists the same sequence under 1 other name. The record is from RNAcentral. Lineage: Bacteria; Pseudomonadati; Pseudomonadota; Gammaproteobacteria; Enterobacterales; Enterobacteriaceae.
GCACCUUAUAAAACGGGUGCCGGGAUUGGCGUCCUGGAAAUGUUAUCGGCGAUAUAUGACGCGCCAGCGUCUUUUUU